Limulus polyphemus (Atlantic horseshoe crab) is the source of this 96-nucleotide long non-coding RNA. RefSeq lists it as uncharacterized. The transcript has 4 exons. Lineage: Eukaryota; Metazoa; Arthropoda; Merostomata; Xiphosura; Limulidae. The record is from RefSeq and is a predicted model, not a curated record.
AUUUGGAGCGAGUCUAAAGAAUAGGUCUACAUCCACUUAUUGUAUGAGUGUUGUUGUUGUUGAUAACAGUCAAUAAGAUGACAGCAGUAGCCCAAG